AACGAACGCUGGCGGCAUGCCUAACACAUGCAAGUCGAACGAUGGCUUCGGCCAUAGUGGCGCACGGGUGAGUAACACGUGGGAAUCUACCUGACAGUGGGGAAUAACAGAGGGAAACUUCUGCUAAUACCGCAUACGCCCCUUCGGGGGGAAAGAUUUAUCGCUGACAGAUGAGACCGCGUCCGAUUAGGUAGUUGGUGGGGUAAAGGCCUACCAAGCCUUCGAUCGGUAGCUGGUCUGAGAGGAUGAUCAGCCACACUGGGACUGGGACACGGCCCAGACUCCUACGGGAGGCAGCAGUGGGGAAUAUUGGACAAUGGGCGCAGGCCUGAUCCAGCAAUGCCGCGUGAAUGAUGAAGGCCUUAGGGUUGUAAAGUUCUUUCGGGUGGGACGAUGAUGACGGUACCACCAGAAGAAGCCCCGGCUAACUUCGUGCCAGCCGCCGCCGUAA
This 451-nucleotide ribosomal RNA is filed under the name uncultured bacterium. Its description in RNAcentral is "partial 16S ribosomal RNA". It matches the Rfam family "Bacterial small subunit ribosomal RNA", at positions 29 to 523 of the family's 1533-position model. The record is from RNAcentral.